RNAcentral lists this ribosomal RNA (629 nucleotides) under uncultured fungus. RNAcentral describes it as "eukaryotic LSU rRNA". It matches the Rfam family "Eukaryotic large subunit ribosomal RNA", at positions 24 to 664 of the family's 3401-position model. Lineage: Eukaryota; Fungi. The record is from RNAcentral.
CCCGCUGAACUUAAGCAUAUCAAUAAGCGGAGGAAAAGAAACUAACAAGGAUUCCCCUAGUAACUGCGAGUGAAGCGGGAAGAGCUCAAAUUUGAAAUCUGGCGGGUACCCCGUCCGAGUUGUAAUCUGGAGAAGCGUUUUCCGCGCUGGACCGUGUACAAGUCCCUUGGAACAGGGCGUCAUAGAGGGUGAGAAUCCCGUCUACGACACGGACCGCCAGUGCUGUGCGAUGCGCUCUCGAAGAGUCGAGUUGUUUGGGAAUGCAGCUCAAAACGGGUGGUAAAUUCCAUCUAAAGCUAAAUAUUGGCGAGAGACCGAUAGCGAACAAGUACCGUGAGGGAAAGAUGAAAAGCACUUUGGAAAGAGAGUGAAACAGUACGUGAAAUUGUUGAAAGGGAAACGCUUGAAGUCAGUCGCGCCCGCCGGGACUCAGCCUUGCUUCUGCUUGGUGCACUUCCCGGCUGGGCGGGCCAGCAUCGUUUUCCGCGCCGGACAAACCCGUGAGGAAUGUGGCAGCUCCGGCUGUGUCAUAGCCUCGCGCGGCACAACGGCGCAGGGGAACGAGGAAUCCGGGCGCAAGCCCUGGGAUGCUGGCGUAAUGGCUUUAAGCGACCCGUCUUGAAACACGG